GAUGGCCGUUGGAGAAGAAAGCAGCAAUCAGGCAACCAUCGAAAGAGAAAAAGAAGAAAAAUCCAAAAUUUCGAGCGGCCAAGCCAUCAAGGUGCCAAGCAGCACAAGUCCUCAAGGACCGAUGAUGGAGGAUCGAAGGAGGAAACCAGAGAAAACUGCGGGAGGGGAGGGGCUUCAUAGUUCGCUCGACCGCCGUUGGGAAAGAAGCUGCAAGCACUGACUACUAAAGGAGGAGUGGAGGAGCCCCAGCUAAUGUUGGGAGGAAGCACCCGUCGAAGG
RNAcentral lists this long non-coding RNA (279 nucleotides) under Elaeis guineensis (African oil palm). RNAcentral's name for it is "long non-coding RNA (EGUI_LNC010133)". The record is from RNAcentral. Lineage: Eukaryota; Viridiplantae; Streptophyta; Magnoliopsida; Arecales; Arecaceae.